Molecule: long non-coding RNA, 213 nt
Filed under: Elaeis guineensis (African oil palm)
Lineage: Eukaryota; Viridiplantae; Streptophyta; Magnoliopsida; Arecales; Arecaceae
Description: long non-coding RNA (EGUI_LNC018948)
Source: RNAcentral
GGCCAUGGUUCACCAUCUCCAUGCAUUUCUAUGCUUUAUUUUUGACUUAGAAUGUUGUGGGUCCACGUCUGGCAUGUGCUCCACUACUUUCUCCUAUGGGUUGUCCACCUGGAUCAUAAUAAAUAAACAUAGCGUACCUUGGGGCCCCUCAUGGAUGGCCACGGUAUAGUCGUAGGCCAGACUUUGGCUGUGGAUAAUUUUCAUGCCAAGGCG